Molecule: ribosomal RNA, 380 nt
Filed under: uncultured bacterium
Lineage: Bacteria
Description: bacterial SSU rRNA
Rfam family: Bacterial small subunit ribosomal RNA
Source: RNAcentral
AUUGAACGCUGGCGGCAUGCCUUACACAUGCAAGUCGAACGGCAGCACGGGAGCAAUCCUGGUGGCGAGUGGCGAACGGGUGAGUAAUAUAUCGGAACGUGCCCAGUCGUGGGGAUAACGUAGCGAAAGCUACGCUAAUACCGCAUACGAUCUAUGGAUGAAAGCGGGGGAUCGCAAGACCUCGCGCGAUUGGAGCGGCCGAUAUCAGAUUAGGUAGUUGGUGAGGUAAAGGCUCGCCAAGCCGACGAUCUGUAGCUGGUCUGAGAGGACGACCAGCCACACUGGGACUGAGACACGGCCCAGACUCCUACGGGAGGCAGCAGUGGGGGAAUUUUGGACAAUGGGCGCAAGCCUGAUCCAGCAAUGCCGCGUGCAGGAUG